RNAcentral lists this ribosomal RNA (470 nucleotides) under uncultured bacterium. Its description in RNAcentral is "bacterial SSU rRNA". It matches the Rfam family "Bacterial small subunit ribosomal RNA", at positions 335 to 798 of the family's 1533-position model. The record is from RNAcentral.
ACUCCUACGGGAGGCAGCAGUGGGGAAUAUUGCACAAUGGGCGCAAGCCUGAUGCAGCCAUGCCGCGUGUAUGAAGAAGGCCUUCGGGUUGUAAAGUACUUUCAGCAGUGAGGAAGGUGGGUAUGUUAAUAGCAUAUUCAUUUGACGUUAGCUGCAGAAGAAGCACCGGCUAACUCCGUGCCAGCAGCCGCGGUAAUACGGAGGGUGCGAGCGUUAAUCGGAAUUACUGGGCGUAAAGCGCAUGCAGGUGGUUUGUUAAGUCAGAUGUGAAAGCCCGGGGCUCAACCUCGGAAUUGCAUUUGAAACUGGCAAACUAGAGUACUGUAGAGGGGGGUAGAAUUUCAGGUGUAGCGGUGAAAUGCGUAGAGAUCUGAAGGAAUACCGGUGCGAAGGCGGCCCCCUGGACAGAUACUGACACUCAGAUGCGAAAGCGUGGGGAGCAAACAGGAUUAGAUACCCUGGUAGGCUCU